AUUUAUCAGAUGUACCAACAUACAAGUGGUGCAGGUUGUCUCAUUUAUCAGAUGUACCAACAUACAAGUGGUGCAGGUUGUCUCAUUUAUCAGAUGUACCAACAUACAAGUGGUGCAGGUUGUCUCAUUUAUCAGAUGUACCGACAUACAAGUGGUGCAGGUUGUCUCAUUUAUCAGAUGUACCGACAUACAAGUGGUGCAGGUUGUCUCAUUUAUCAGAUGUACCGACAUACAAGUGGUGCAGGUUGUCUCAUUUAUCAGAUGUACCGACAUACAAGUGGUGCAGGUUGUCUCAUUUAUCAGAUGUACCGACAUACAAGGGGUGCAGGUUUUAU
Eriocheir sinensis (Chinese mitten crab) is the source of this 335-nucleotide long non-coding RNA. RefSeq lists it as uncharacterized. The transcript has 2 exons. The record is from RefSeq and is a predicted model, not a curated record. NCBI's taxonomy places the organism in Eukaryota, Metazoa, Arthropoda, Malacostraca, Decapoda, Varunidae.